Molecule: ribosomal RNA, 256 nt
Filed under: uncultured bacterium
Lineage: Bacteria
Description: partial 16S ribosomal RNA
Rfam family: Bacterial small subunit ribosomal RNA
Source: RNAcentral
UACGUAGGGUGCGAGCGUUGUCCGGAAUUAUUGGGCGUAAAGAGCUUGUAGGCGGUUUUGUCGCGUCUGCUGUGAAAAAUCCGGGGCUCAACCCCGGAUCUGCGGUGGGUACGGGCAGACUAGAGUGAUGUAGGGGGAGACUGGAAUUCCUGGUGUAGCGGUGAAAUGCGCAGAUAUCAGGAGGAACACCGAUGGCGAAGGCAGGUCUCUGGGCAUUAACUGACGCUGAGGAGCGAAAGCAUGGGGAGCGAACAGG